CCGCGGUAAAACCGGUUACUCCUACGGGAGGCAGCAGUGGGGAAUCUUGCACAAUGGGCGAAAGCCUGAUGCAGCGACGCCGCGUGAGCGAUGAAGCCCUUCGGGGUGUAAAGCUCUUUCGACGGGAACGCGGUACCCGGAGAAGAAGCUGCGGCUAACUAC
This 162-nucleotide ribosomal RNA is filed under the name uncultured bacterium. Its description in RNAcentral is "partial 16S ribosomal RNA". It matches the Rfam family "Bacterial small subunit ribosomal RNA", at positions 305 to 504 of the family's 1533-position model. The record is from RNAcentral.